AACGCGAAGAACCUUACCUGGGCUCGAAAUGUAGAGGACGAUACCAGAGAUGGUAUUUCCCGAAAGGGUCUUUACAUAGGUGCUGCAUGGCUGUCGUCAGCUCGUGCCGUGAGGUGUUUGGUUAAGUCCAGCAACGAGCGCAACCCUUAUCGUUAGUUGCCAACGCGUGAAGGCGGGAACUCUAACGAGACUGCCUGGGUUAACCAGGAGGAAGGUGAGGAUGACGUCAAGUCCGCAUGGCCUUUAUGUCCAGGGCUACACACGUGCUACAAUGGUCGGUACAAUAGGCAGCGAAACCGCAAGGCGGAGCAAAUCCUAUAAAACCGAUCUCAGUUCAGAUUGUAGACUGCAACUCGUCUACAUGAAGUUGGAAUUGCUAGUAAUGGCGUGUCAGCAACAACGCCGUGAAUACGUUCCCGGGCCUUGUACACACCGGACACGC
This 442-nucleotide ribosomal RNA is filed under the name uncultured bacterium. Its description in RNAcentral is "bacterial SSU rRNA". It matches the Rfam family "Bacterial small subunit ribosomal RNA", at positions 958 to 1402 of the family's 1533-position model. The record is from RNAcentral.